Molecule: long non-coding RNA, 1266 nt
Filed under: Pan troglodytes (chimpanzee)
Lineage: Eukaryota; Metazoa; Chordata; Mammalia; Primates; Hominidae
Description: lncRNA (ENSPTRG00000054419.1)
Source: RNAcentral
AUGCAUCUGAAGAGUCUGCUUGAAAGACACAAUAAUGAGUGCUGCGUGAACCCCAGCAGGGCCAUUCCAGAUGCUCCACAGGACAGCACUGAAUGCACCGCAGUGAGCCUGGGAGGCCCUGGGCUACUGCUGCCUCCCCUUCUCUGGGCUGAACAUCAAGAAACCUCAAACCUGAGACACGGUGGGAAAUCAGGAAGACAUGAGGCUUUGCUCAACACUGGAGAACACCAGUUCUUUUCAGUUUGUAUGCAUCUUUAUCAGCAUGGCCAUGACGUGUGUAAGGCAUUUCCAAGGGUGAGAUUUCCUCUGAAAUGUCCAAAGAAGUCAACCGCAUUUCAAAAACUACCACAAACUAAAUUAAAAGGCAAAUAUCACAAUUUAUUCUCAUAUUAGGUUUUUGAGUGAAAGAUUGGAUUCUAAUCUCAGUUCUGCCAUUUCUUCACUGGGGGUUUUGUUUUAAUCUUAGUUUCUCCAUUUUUCCUCCCUUCCUUUCUCUCUUCUUUUCUUCUUCUCUUCCCUCCUUCCUAUGUGGUUUGGCUGUGUCCUCACCCAAAUCUCAUCUUGAAUUGUAGUUCCCAUAAUCCCCAAGUGUGGUGAGAGGGACCUAGUGGGAGGUAAUUGAAUUAUGGGGGUGGUUUCCCCCAGGCUAUUCUUGUGAUAGUAAGUUACCACGAGAGCUGAUGGUUUUACAAGGGGCUUCCCCCUACGCUUGGCUCUCAUUCUUCUCUCUCUUGCCACUUGGGAAGAAGGAUGUGUUUGCUUUCCUUCCACCAUGAUUGUAAGUUUCCUGAGCCCUCCCCAGCCCUGCAGAACUGUGAGCCAAUUUAAUUUAUUUCCUUUAUAAAUUACCCAGUCUCUGUCCUUAUAGCAACAUGAGAAUGGACUAAUACACCUUUCAUUAAAUUAGCACUUAUCUCAACAGUUGAAAUGUUUUUACAAAGGUUUUGAAGCAUUAAAGAUAAUGAGUUAUUAAGAACUAGAUAUUUGAUUUAAGGAUCACACUUUUUUGCUCUUUUGACUCCAUAUCAACAUUCUGCAGUUGGUAGGGCUCCUCCCAUUAUCUCCAUUACCCAGAUGGGGAAACUCUUUAAAUGGCUCUCUUAAGAUCCACUGUGUGAUUUAGUAAAAUAUUGGGUCUAGAACCCAUAUCAUUAACUCGCACCUGUCUGUGAAAUCUGUGAACUUCUGGUGCCGAUGAUAUUAUGAAUCCCUCCAAGUAGAGGCGUGGUCUUCAGUCACCCAGAGCAGGUGUUCCAAACACCACUG